GUGAAUAAAGGUAUAAAUUUUAAUUUGAAGUAAAAAGAUAUUGCCGAUUAUAUAUCUUUUGGCCGUUUGUUCGCAUUCUACGCACACGGUUGUAUAAUUUUCUAAGAUAAUUAAAUAUUUCUAAAUGAGGUUAUAUACAUAUUUCGCGAGAAUCUGAACAAUCUGAACUUGGCAAUGUUAGGAGGAUAAUCGAUCGCGGGAUGAGAGAGCGUCGAUUAAUUGAUCAACGCGCCUAUUUAAGAUGCAAAUUGCGUCAGAUGUCGCGCGAGACAAACGAUUGCGAGAUGCUGCGGGACGAGACGGACGCGACGCAGAUCAGCUGGAGAGAUCGAUCGAUCGCGAAAUUCUUGCGCUUGUCAUCCGCACGCAUCACGGUUGGUAGGGUCAGUGAUCGAGACAAAGCCAUGCUGCUUUAUUUACGCCAUCAUGGGACUUGAACGAACAGAGAGCGAUUCGAGGAUUGUCGAUGUUCCUAGGUACAAUCUUCUCGAAAUUGACGUCUCCGAGAAUUAAUCUGCAUUAAUCACCUGCGAACUGCGUUUCCCCGAACUCCGACGAGAGAUAGCGUGCGCUGGUGCCAGAGCGUCAAGUUCCUUCCGCUUCUUCAUCUUCUUCAUCGGCUGACGAAGCGGCACUGUCACUGCCACUGAGUCCAUCUCAAGUAAAACCAGGCCGCCUAUCUUUCGAAAUAUCUUUAGCACGACUCGUUUCCAGGAAAAUAUUUUUUCACUCGAAGCCGUCUAAAACCAACUGCUCCUAUUUACACGCGAUUACAUGCGAAAACCCAAGAUAUUUAAAGGGUUUCUAACAUCAUGGUAACUCGACACGGCCGUCUGGAUGGAAAAAUGUCGCGACACAAUUACGACUGCGGCCCUGAGCUUGAUAAGAUAUCGAGAUACUGAAGAAUUCGGAAUCGGGCAAUGGCGGGAAUGACAUGAAGGAGCCGCUCCGACAUUCAAUCCCGAAGGCACCUGCACCUGCACGAGGUUCGCCAAAGAACUGAUAGCGUGGGCGUCGUACCUUCGAAGACACAGACACGAGGACGUACGUGUACCUGUGUGCAUCGGCACCUUUGAGAGGGGGAUUGAAGUCUUCUACCUUCCUACUUCAUUGGCUGGAGUCAAGGCAUUUCGAACCGGCCUCUUUUCACUCUUCGCUCUUCGUCGCGAAUCAUCGCUCUUUCUAUUAUUCUCUGUAUAAAAAUAACAAGAUAGGCUCUUAAGCGAUCAGAAGAACAGUUUAUAUACGUAUAUCGUUGAGAGAGAACUUAAUUAAAUUAUAAAUUAAGCAAUUUAAGAUAAUUAAUCUCAAUGUUUUAUAUUAAUCAUUCAUAAUUAAUUAAUCUAUAAUUAAUUAUGAUUAAUUUAUUUAUAAUUAUUGAUAAUAUGAUUGCUGAGUCCUUAAAAAUUGAAAAUCACGAAUUUUUAUUCAGCAACAAUCGAGAUUAACUAGUGCAUUUCAACAAAAACAAUUUACUUUGAUC
Long non-coding RNA from Cataglyphis hispanica, 1483 nucleotides. RefSeq lists it as uncharacterized. The transcript has 4 exons. The record is from RefSeq and is a predicted model, not a curated record. Lineage: Eukaryota; Metazoa; Arthropoda; Insecta; Hymenoptera; Formicidae.